RNAcentral lists this ribosomal RNA (274 nucleotides) under uncultured archaeon. RNAcentral's name for it is "partial 16S rRNA". It matches the Rfam family "Archaeal small subunit ribosomal RNA", at positions 1047 to 1325 of the family's 1478-position model. The record is from RNAcentral.
GAGACCUAUGCUUACAAUUGCUAACUACCUUUGGGAUAGAGCACUUUGUAAGGACCGCCCUUGAAAAAGGGAGGAAGGCGUAGGCAACGGUAGGUCUGUAUGGUCCGAAUCUUCUGGGCGACACGCGCGCAACAAUGGUAGGUACAAUGGGAUGCAACUCCGAAAGGGGAAGCUAAUCCUCGAAAACCUAUCUUAGUACGGAUUGAGGAUUGUAACUCAUCCUCAUGACGCCGGAAUCUGUAGUAAUCGGAUUUUAUCAUAGUCCGGUGAAUAC